This 349-nucleotide unclassified non-coding RNA is filed under the name Hevea brasiliensis (rubber tree). Lineage: Eukaryota; Viridiplantae; Streptophyta; Magnoliopsida; Malpighiales; Euphorbiaceae. The record is from RNAcentral.
GUUUCAAUGGCCUUGCUAGAGAACAAGUUCAGCAACUAUUCGCUAGAAUACUUAAAGGAUCUACCCAAUAAGCUUCUUGUGUAACAAGGUGAUGCUGCUUACUGUCACUUGUAACAGUCGAAGUGUUUUUGUGUGUGUGUGAGUGUGUGCGCUUGUAUGCAUGUGCAUCUAACAUGCAUUACAGCAUGGCUUUUACAUAAUACAAUAUUUACCAUCAUUUUAUUGGCAAACUCAGAAAAGCCGUCUUACAAUUCCUAGUAUUUCUUACAGAUUAUGAUGAAGUGACAGCAAUCGACAAUCUUUCCUGGAACACCAUUCUGAAGUGUUCCAACUCUUUAGCAUGCUCUGU